CAGCCGCCGCGGGAAUACGUAGGGUGCAAGUGUUAAUCGGAAUUACUGGGCGUAAAGCGUGCGCAGGCGGUUUGUUAAGACAGAUGUGAAAUCCCCGGGCUCAACCUGGGAACUGCAUUUGUGACUGGCAAGCUAGAGUGUGGCAGAGGGGGGUGGAAUUCCGCGUGUAGCAGUGAAAUGCGUAGAUAUGCGGAGGAACACCGAUGGCGAAGGCAGCCCCCUGGGCCAAUACUGACGCUCAUGCACGAAAGUGUGGGGAGCAAACAGGAUUAGAUACCCCAGUAGUCCCUGUCUCUUAUAC
This 301-nucleotide ribosomal RNA is filed under the name uncultured bacterium. RNAcentral describes it as "partial 16S ribosomal RNA". It matches the Rfam family "Bacterial small subunit ribosomal RNA", at positions 509 to 807 of the family's 1533-position model. The record is from RNAcentral.